Small nucleolar RNA from Humulus lupulus (European hop), 138 nucleotides. RefSeq annotates it as small nucleolar RNA snoR137. NCBI's taxonomy places the organism in Eukaryota, Viridiplantae, Streptophyta, Magnoliopsida, Rosales, Cannabaceae. The record is from RefSeq and is a predicted model, not a curated record. The transcript has a single exon.
GUUGCUUCUUAUGGCGAACCCCUCUUAAUCAAAAUAGGGGAUGUUCAAGUUUCCAAAGCAUCAAUCAAUGUUUAAGCCACAGUAAUGUGCACUAAUUUUUUUUUGUUUGUCCUUUGUUACCUGUUUUCUAGUACAUUC